UGAUGACGUCACAGCAGCUGUAGGUGCGUGCCAUUUUUCGCCAUUUUAUGCGCUGUGUUUUGUGGUACUUCUGCUGUCAAGUAGCUGUUUAUGAGAUCGUAUUUUGUGUUUUGCGGAUAAAUUACGAGGAUUUGAUUUGCUAAAUCGAAGUUGAAGUUGAAAAAAGUGUUAUUCAACAUGUCCGUGUAUUGUAUUGUACAGUGUGGUGCCAGAAAGGACAGAAAUCAACCGUAUUUGUCACUUCAUAGGCCAUCUUUCAAUCCAAAAUUGUCGACUGGAUUUACUGAAACAGGUGAUAUUGGAAAACUAAUCCACAGCUGCAACGUCGUCUGUGCUGCCAUUGCCCGUACGUCUGUCUCAUAAGUCAGUACAUGAAAAGUCUGUUCAAGAAGACGCGAUGAAAAAAUUAAAAGAUAGCCAAUUUGAAGAAUAUUAUGGAAGAUCUGCAGAAUAAAAAUCAAAUAAUAAAGGGCAAAGUGUAUUGAUGGAAGAAUUGGCAGGACCUCAAGACUUUUUGAAAAGGCAGGUAAACAAAUUUCAAGGUUUACCUUUGCCAAAGAAGUAUUCCCAAGAAAUAAGAAAGUUUGCUUUAACUUUACAUUUUCUUUCUCCG
This is a long non-coding RNA of Pectinophora gossypiella (pink bollworm), 613 nucleotides long. RefSeq lists it as uncharacterized. The transcript has 3 exons. The record is from RefSeq and is a predicted model, not a curated record. NCBI's taxonomy places the organism in Eukaryota, Metazoa, Arthropoda, Insecta, Lepidoptera, Gelechiidae.